RNAcentral lists this ribosomal RNA (279 nucleotides) under Triticum aestivum (bread wheat). RNAcentral describes it as "partial small subunit ribosomal RNA". Lineage: Eukaryota; Viridiplantae; Streptophyta; Magnoliopsida; Poales; Poaceae. The record is from RNAcentral.
AUGGCCCGCUUCACCUCCGCGCCCGACCGGCGUGCCGCGCUCGACAGGGGUGACCCGGACUGGUCCAUCAACCACGCCCGCGCCCUCGCUUCAAACCGGCCUCCGCCACCGUCCGACCCCAAACCGGCGACCGAAGAGCCGUCGUCUGGGUCAUGGCCCGCCUCAGCGUCGACAACCUUGGCCCACCUGUUCCGAGCAGCCACGGCCCACGGCCUUCCAUCGCCGUUGGGCCGGUUGUGGCCUCCGAGUCACCGCCGAGCAGUGCCGCCUUUACCUUAG